RNAcentral lists this ribosomal RNA (468 nucleotides) under uncultured bacterium. RNAcentral describes it as "partial 16S ribosomal RNA". It matches the Rfam family "Bacterial small subunit ribosomal RNA", at positions 28 to 507 of the family's 1533-position model. The record is from RNAcentral.
GACGAACGCUGGCGGCGUGCUUAACACAUGCAAGUCGAACGGGAAGGCCUUGCUUUUGUGGGUUGCUCAAGUGGCGAACAGGGCAGUAACCCGUGAGUAACCUGCCCUUGACUUUAGGAUAACUUUAGGAAACUAUGGCUAAUACCGGCUAGGAGCACCUGCUGCAUGGAGGGGGUUGGAAAGUUUCGGCGGUUGGGGAUGGACUGGAGGCUUAACAGUGUGUUGGUGGAGUGUUGGCUUACCAAGGCUUUGACGGGUAGGCGGCCUGAGAGGGUGACCAGCGCCAAUGGGACUAAGAUAGGGCCCAGAAUGGUACGGUCGGCAGUAGUGGGGAAUAUUACAGAACAGGCGGAAGCCUGAUGAAGAGACGCUGCGUGCGGGAUGACGUCUUUCUGGUGAUAAACCGCUGUCGCAUGUGACGAAGCGUGAGUGACGGUAAUGGGUAAAGAAGCACCGGCUAACUACGUG